Non-coding RNA from Mycena metata, 95 nucleotides. The record is from the annotation of a GenBank genome assembly. Lineage: Eukaryota; Fungi; Basidiomycota; Agaricomycetes; Agaricales; Mycenaceae.
GGCUCUGUUGCACAUGGUGUGCAUCUGCUUCAAAUGUUGGAGCUAGGCUUUUGUAUUCAGAGUGGAAGAUCCCGGUUCGAUUCCGGGCGGAGUCG